Magnolia sinica is the source of this 438-nucleotide long non-coding RNA. RefSeq lists it as uncharacterized. Lineage: Eukaryota; Viridiplantae; Streptophyta; Magnoliopsida; Magnoliales; Magnoliaceae. The record is from RefSeq and is a predicted model, not a curated record. The transcript is spliced from 3 exons.
GUUCGGGAUCGGGUUUAGGUUUAGGUUUUCAAGUUUAGGUUUAGGUUUAGGUUAGGGAGUUGAGAUUAGGAUUAGGUGUAGGUUUAGGUUUAGAGAUUUGAGAAUACAUUUAGGUUUUAGGUCAUAGGUUUUGGUUUAGGUUAAGGUUAUAGGUUUAGGUUUAGGUUAAGGUUUAGGUUUAGGUUAUAAGCUAUAGGUUUAGGGAAUUGAGAAUAGGUUAAGGUUUAGGUUUAGGAAAUCGGGUUCGGGUUUAGGUUUGGGUUUUCAAGUUUAAGUUUAGGUUUAGGUUAGGGAGUUGAGAUUAGGAUUAGGUGUAGGUUUAGGUUUAGAGAUUUGAGAAUACAUUUAGGUUUUAGGUCAUAGGUUUAGGUUUUAGGCUUAGGUUUAGGUUAUAAGUUUAGGUUUAGGUUAUAAGUAUAGGUUAUAGGUUUAGGUUUA